RNAcentral lists this ribosomal RNA (156 nucleotides) under uncultured bacterium. Its description in RNAcentral is "partial 16S ribosomal RNA". It matches the Rfam family "Bacterial small subunit ribosomal RNA", at positions 355 to 509 of the family's 1533-position model. The record is from RNAcentral.
UGAGGAAUAUUGGCAAUGGACGCAAGUCUGAACCAGCCAUGCCGCGUGCAGGAAGACGGCUCUAUGAGUUGUAAACUGCUUUUGUACGAGGGUAAACGCAGAUACGCGUAUCUGUCUGAAAGUAUCGUACGAAUAAGGAUCGGCUAACUCCGUGCC